This 121-nucleotide microRNA precursor is filed under the name Oryza sativa (Asian cultivated rice). Its description in RNAcentral is "miR5154 stem-loop (osa-MIR5154)". Lineage: Eukaryota; Viridiplantae; Streptophyta; Magnoliopsida; Poales; Poaceae. The record is from miRBase by way of RNAcentral.
UUAGACAUCUCAGCACCAAAUAGCACGGCGCUGGAUAUACGUUGGCAUGCCGACUCAGCCUCCCAUCUGUAGUGGCACGGCAUUCAGCACCAGUUGACGUGACGCUGAGGUGUCUAAGUUG